This is an RNA transcript of Ananas comosus (pineapple), 1125 nucleotides long. It is a transcript of the gene named nuclear nucleic acid-binding protein C1D, with no coding region annotated. Lineage: Eukaryota; Viridiplantae; Streptophyta; Magnoliopsida; Poales; Bromeliaceae. The record is from RefSeq and is a predicted model, not a curated record. The transcript is spliced from 7 exons.
CACCCCUCUAAAUCACAAACCCUAACCCUUCUCCUUUUCUCCUCCUCCUCAUGCCUCGUAGAGCACCCAUGGCCUCCGACGCCGCCGCCGCCGCCGCCGCCGGAGAUGGUGGCGCCGCCGUCUCCUCCUCCGGCAUCGUCCCGAUCUCGGCCGUGGAAGCGCUGGCCAAAACCCUAGGGCACGCCGAGGAGGUCCGUGCCCAACUCAGCGAGUUCCUCGCCGCGGCCGACCCCGACGCCCUCGCCGAUCUCCCCCCACUCCGCCGCGCCCGCGCGUUCCUCGCGCUCGCUAGGGCCGCCUCCUCCCUCUUCUCAGUGCGAUUGCGAUGUAGCGGGAUCAACCCGGAUGAUCACCCCAUGGCAAAAGAGCUUGAGAGGUUAAGUUUGCAUGAAGAGAAAUUGGAGCGGUUCGAGAGCUGGAGCAAAGCUCCGCUACGGCCUUCGACGACCUUAAACUACCAGGCGGCAACCCGUUUCAUCGGGCAUUCGCUGCCGCACUUAACAUCUGAGCAGAGGAAAAGUAUGCGGGACAUCAGUCGAGGACGCGGAGUGAGGAGUAGACCUUCUAACGAUAGGGCUCGUAAGAAGAGGAAGGAAGCUGACAGGCCGAACGUACGUCUGGCCGCGCAAGAGUUUCUUGAAAAGGCAGCUCGGGAACUUUUUAGCUCGAAGGAGACUGGUGUGAAAGGCCCUCUGCGAAUUAUCUCAGAUGAAGACGAUGAAUAAUUUGUUUGGCAUUUCCAAUCUUGGGUUUCAGGAAUUGUUCGAUGCUGGAAGUAUCGCAUCCCCUUCAUUAUUAUUAUUAGCACCUUGUUUGCGUCGAUGGAGCUUGAAGAGCCAGGUGCUUUCUGGGUUCUCCAUCUGGUUCUCCGAGUUCUCCAUCUGGUUUUCCAUCGAGCUUGCGUGUUCUCCUGUCGAGUAGCUCGACAUCAUGGCUGGACCCUUCUCUUCUUCUGUUUCUAUUUCAUCAUCUUUCAAAUUGCAAGGUAUAAGAGAUAUUCUCGCAAACUUUGUCUUCUGCUUUUUCUCGAUCUUUAACGCUCUUUCUAGUCUAAAAAGUUUCACGGUUUAUUUAUUUUACUUAUUUUUUUUAUAUUAGGCCUUUCUAAUUUCUAUUUUUUCGGCC